RNAcentral lists this unclassified non-coding RNA (161 nucleotides) under soil metagenome. Its description in RNAcentral is "partial internal transcribed spacer 1". The record is from RNAcentral.
UCUAAUAACAACGGACUGUCGGUCCUUGCUGCACCUGUGUCUUUGCGCACCGCGUAUUGUUUCCCUCUCGGCCGGGCUUGCCUAGCCGGUUUGGUAACAUUAUCAAAACCUUUCUUGGUAGUUGCAAUCAGCGUCAUAUACAUAACAAAUAUUAAUUACAA